GAUUUUUUUUAUAUACAAUUCUGCUAGGAAAUAAAAAAAAGAGUACAGCCAACUCUUGUCAACUUUACUGGACCGGACCCGGAGCCCAUUUCACGGUAGAAGCAAAAAGCAACAUCCCAAUUUAACUACCGUGAACCAAAUUAACCCUAAUAAACCCCACCUUUCACCGUGUGACUGAAGAAUCAUCCAAAAUCCCCAAACUGCAUCGCCUCCCUCCCACCUUCGUUGUGCGCCUUUCCUGCCCACCGUCAACCCAGGUGAGCCGCUCCAUUCCGUUCCAACUGAGAGACACCGCCGGGGUCAGACACUCAGCGAAGCCCGCCGCUGCUGCCGCAUGUCAUGGUCGCGGCGUCAUUGAAACAAAAUCCCCAACCUGCAGCGCCUCCCUCCCACCUUUGUCGUGCGCCUUCCCUGCCCGCCGUCAAUCCAGGUGAGCCGCUCCGUUCCGUUCCAACUGCGAGACAUUGCCGGGGUCAGACGCUCGGCGAAGCCCACCGCUGCUGCUACAUGUCGUCAUCGCGGCGUCGUUGAAGCUCAGCCUAGCCUUCCGCGACUGCUGCAUGUCGUCAUCGCCGCACCACUGAAGCUCGAAGGUCCCUCGCGUGUUCUGCCCCAACGGACGCUGCGUCAGACUCCUCCAAGUGGCGCCAUGAAGCAUCGUUGAAAGCACUCCUCGGUAGCGGAUAUUUACAGAUUAUAAAGCUACCCCAAUUGUGCUGCCGAACAGAGAAGCGAGAUGGGGAAAAAGAAAUUAUUAGAGUCGCAAUGCUCGCCCAACUACAUUCAUGAUAUGAUGAGCCAGCUCACUAAAAACAAUGCGGUUGAAAAGCUUGCAGAGAUAGAUGAAAUUGGCUUCGGAUUCUUGAGGCUUAUUCCGUAUUGAGCGAUGAAGCAAUACAUCAUGGUUUGUCUGGCUGAAUUGUACGAUGUUGAGAAAAGCACCUUGAUAGUCGACGUUGGCAACAUCCGCCUCAAUGCCAAAUUAAUCGGGCGGAUCUUCGACAUUCUAUCUCGUGGCAAUGAAUUCCCAUCCCUGGACGACAAAAGUCCGGCGCACGUGGCCAUCAAAAGGAGGUUCCAUAGACGAACAACAACUGAACUCCGGGAUUUGGUAUAUGUAUCUUAUGAAUGGUGUUUAUGUUGUCUCUAAUACUUUAAUACUUUAAUCAUUCAUGGCCUUUUUAUGUAAUCAAUCUACUCGACUGGUUUCUGUAUUGGUUUAAAUCAUCGACUAGCUUUGCAUAAGUUUAUUAGGUUCAUUUCAAUGUACUUGGAUGUUUCUUUACCCAACA
Arachis ipaensis is the source of this 1292-nucleotide long non-coding RNA. RefSeq lists it as uncharacterized. The record is from RefSeq and is a predicted model, not a curated record. Lineage: Eukaryota; Viridiplantae; Streptophyta; Magnoliopsida; Fabales; Fabaceae.